RNAcentral lists this ribosomal RNA (873 nucleotides) under uncultured bacterium. RNAcentral describes it as "bacterial SSU rRNA". It matches the Rfam family "Bacterial small subunit ribosomal RNA", at positions 28 to 896 of the family's 1533-position model. The record is from RNAcentral.
GAUGAACGCUAGCGGCAGGCUUAAUACAUGCAAGUCGUGGGGCAGCAUGGUGUAGCAAUACACUGAUGGCGACCGGCAAACGGGUGCGGAACACGUACGCAACCUCCCUCUAACUGGAAGAUAGCCCACCGAAAGGUGGAUUAAUAUUCCAUAACAUAUUGAAGUGGCAUCACUUUAAUAUUAAAGCUCCGGCGGUAAGAGAUGGGCGUGCGUCUGAUUAGGUAGUUGGCGGGGUAACGGCCCACCAAGCCUGCGAUCAGUAGCUGAUGUGAGAGCAUGAUCAGCCACACGGGCACUGAGACACGGGCCCGACUCCUACGGGAGGCAGCAGUAAGGAAUAUUGGUCAAUGGACGCAAGUCUGAACCAGCCAUGCCGCGUGGAGGAUGAAGGUCCUCUGGAUUGUAAACUUCUUUUCUCUGGGACGAAACCCCCGAUUUCCAUCGGGCCUGACGGUACCAGAGGAAUAAGCACCGGCUAACUCCGUGCCAGCAGCCGCGGUAAUACGGAGGGUGCAAGCGUUAUCCGGAUUCACUGGGUUUAAAGGGUGCGUAGGCGGGUUUGUAAGUCAGUGGUGAAAUCCCCGAGCUUAACUUGGGAACUGCCAUUGAUACUGCAAGUCUUGAAUUUUCUGGAGGUAAGCGGAAUAUGUCAUGUAGCGGUGAAAUGCUUAGAUAUGACAUAGAACACCCAUUGCGAAGGCAGCUUACUACGGGAAUAUUGACGCUGAGGCACGAAAGCGUGGGGAUCAAACAGGAUUAGAUACCCUGGUAGUCCACGCCCUAAACGAUGAUUACUCGACAUUAGCGAUAUUACAGUUAGUGUCUAAGCGAAAGCAUUAAGUAAUCCACCUGGGAAGUACGACCGCAAGGUUG